This 502-nucleotide ribosomal RNA is filed under the name uncultured bacterium. Its description in RNAcentral is "bacterial SSU rRNA". It matches the Rfam family "Bacterial small subunit ribosomal RNA", at positions 29 to 518 of the family's 1533-position model. The record is from RNAcentral.
ACGAACGCUGGCGGCGUGCCUAACACAUGCAAGUCGAGCGGGGACAUGCGACGGAAGAGAAGUUUCGGAUGGAUCUGAAGAUGUAUGUUCUAGCGGCGGACGGGUGAGUAACGCGUGAGCAACCUGUCCUUCACAGGGGGAUAACACAGCGAAAGUUGUACUAAUACCGCAUAAGACCACGGAGAGACAUCUCUCAGGGGUCAAAGGAGCAAUCCGGUGAAGGGUGGGCUCGCGUCCGAUUAGAUAGUUGGUGAGGUAACGGCCCACCAAGUCGACGAUCGGUAGCCGACCUGAGAGGGUGAUCGGCCACAUUGGGACUGAGACACGGCCCAAACUCCUACGGGAGGCAGCAGUGGGGAAUAUUGGGCAAUGGGGGGAAACCCUGACCCAGCAACGCCGCGUGAGGGAAGAAGGUUUUCGGAUCGUAAACCUCUGUCCCAGGUGAAGAGCAAGAGACGGUAACCUGGGAGGAAGCCCCGGCUAACUACGUGCCAGCCGCAGC